GCUCCAUUUUCCUGAGACUGGGGGAGUGAAGAGUAAUUCUAUGUGAAUCCUGGUCAACAUUCAGCCCUUUUUUACUUUGAUAAGAAUAGCAAGACCCCACUUCAGGAAAACCAUACUAUGAACUGCAAACCCCUCUUGGAGUUCAUAAGGGUAAAAAAAGUCAAAAUGGGGUCCCAUUUUGCACAGUCGUCCCAUCCAGGUGAAAACUCUAUUACUAUGGCCUUUUAGAAACUCAUUGGCCAAGGCUGAUCCCUGACACUAGCCCAGCUUAUUUGAAUUCAAGUGUAUUAAGACCUAAGAUUUCACAGGCAUUUAGCCUGGUUGACAAUGGUACCUUAAUAUUGGGGAGAUAUUUAAACUUAGCUGCACAAUUUUGUCUGGUCCUUACUGAAACCGUGGGUAAUUAGUCAAAUCCAUUUCACCUGCCUUCACUAAUCAAGGUCAUUUUAAGAUUGGCAUGUCCUCCAAGGCAUGUGCCUGAGCUGUUGUAUAGGAACUUGGAGUCAGCUGUGUCUUGCAAGAGCUGUGCUCAUUAAGGCUAGAAUGGAAAACUGACCCUCCAACUGGGCAUGCGUGAGUGUCCGCUUGCUCCUGAUCUUUUGAACGUGCAGCGGCUUAGCCUGGUUACGCCUGUGCAGAACUACGAUUACCACACCUUAUCGCCAUCACCUUUCCCCAUACCGCCCACGGUCCCCAUGCCUCAGACUGCCUGCCUCUUCAUUCCUCAUUCCAUAAAUAGCCCAACCCCUUGCCUUUGGGGAGGAGGGGGUGAGAUUUGUUCUUGCAUCUUGUGCUUGGCUGUUUUGCGACUAGACCCUCUCUUUGCUGCGAACCUCAGCUCUCAGCGUUUUGGGUGCUGCGCAUCAGAGUCACUGGGACUGUGGGACCUGCUCUCAAAGGGUGGCCAAGAGAGUGUCAUAGGAGACCACGGCCAAGAAUCACCCAUCUGAACAUGCCCCUGAGUAAAGGACAGUCCUCCACAGUUUUAAGAGAGCUGUGACUACAGCAGGACACUAAUCCCCUACAAGGACUAAAUGGCAAAGCCUCUGACUGCAAACAGACGUGACCUGGUCCCUCUAAAAGAAAACCUGGUGAGUAAAGCAGAAAGUCUUGCUGUCCCCCCCACCCCUGCCACCAGUGUAUACAGGAACUGGGCAGCUGAGCCCACCUCUUGGUGGGAAGGCUGGUGGUGUGUGCUGAUAUUUCAGUAGUUAGAGAAUUCUGCCACUGGUGUUCCAUAACCAUGGACUCUUUCCCUGGGUUGUGUUAAUUGGUGGGCUCUAAGGCAGCUCUUGGGACCCACCUGUAGUUAGUUUUAUACCCAUCACUUUGGCUCCAAGGAGGUCUUGCAGCUCCCAGGCUCCUAGUUUCUAAACACAUGGCCUUAAGAUUAUGGCCUAUUGGUAGGGGAAAAAAUAGGAAAGGCCCAUCUCAAAAGGACAGUUACUUUGAUAGAGAUUUAUUCACAACCUGUUCCUUCUCUUUUGCCUACUACUUACAACUUUUAGGUGUUAUCAGACCAUACUUUAAUUUGCAUGUCUACUCAUCUAUUUAAAAGUAGUGAGUCUCAGAGUUCCUGUCAUGGCUGAGUGGUAAUGAACCCAACUAGUGUCCAUGAGGAUGUGGGUUUGAUCCCUGGCCUUGCUCAGUGGGUUAAGGAUCCAGCAU
Molecule: non-coding RNA, 1668 nt
Organism: Sus scrofa (pig)
Lineage: Eukaryota; Metazoa; Chordata; Mammalia; Artiodactyla; Suidae
Source: RefSeq, a predicted model, not a curated record